This 465-nucleotide ribosomal RNA is filed under the name Vreelandella stevensii. RNAcentral describes it as "partial 16S ribosomal RNA". It matches the Rfam family "Bacterial small subunit ribosomal RNA", at positions 338 to 795 of the family's 1533-position model. Lineage: Bacteria; Pseudomonadati; Pseudomonadota; Gammaproteobacteria; Oceanospirillales; Halomonadaceae. The record is from RNAcentral.
CCUACGGGAGGCAGCAGUGGGGAAUAUUGGACAAUGGGGGCAACCCUGAUCCAGCCAUGCCGCGUGUGUGAAGAAGGCCCUCGGGUUGUAAAGCACUUUCAGUGAGGAAGAACGCCUGGUGGUUAAUACCCAUCAGGAAAGACAUCACUCACAGAAGAAGCACCGGCUAACUCCGUGCCAGCAGCCGCGGUAAUACGGAGGGUGCGAGCGUUAAUCGGAAUUACUGGGCGUAAAGCGCGCGUAGGUGGCUUGAUAAGCCGGUUGUGAAAGCCCCGGGCUCAACCUGGGAACGGCAUCCGGAACUGUCAAGCUAGAGUGCAGGAGAGGACGGUAGAAUUCCCGGUGUAGCGGUGAAAUGCGUAGAGAUCGGGAGGAAUACCAGUGGCGAAGGCGGCCUUCUGGACUGACACUGACACUGAGGUGCGAAAGCGUGGGUAGCAAACAGGAUUAGAUACCCGUGUAGUC